CACGUAGGGCGCAAGCGUUGUCCGGAAUUAUUGGGCGUAAAGGGCGCGUAGGCGGCCUGAUAAGUAGGGGGUGAAAUCCUGCGGCUUAACCGCAGGGCUGCCUUCUAAACUGUCAGGCUCGAGCACAGUAGAGGCAGGUGGAAUUCCCGGUGUAGCGGUGGAAUGCGUAGAGAUCGGGAAGAACAUCAGUGGCGAAGGCGGCCUGCUGGGCUGUUGCUGACGCUGAGGCGCGACAGCGUGGGGAGCAAACAGG
This 253-nucleotide ribosomal RNA is filed under the name uncultured bacterium. Its description in RNAcentral is "partial 16S ribosomal RNA". It matches the Rfam family "Bacterial small subunit ribosomal RNA", at positions 524 to 776 of the family's 1533-position model. The record is from RNAcentral.